RNAcentral lists this ribosomal RNA (253 nucleotides) under uncultured bacterium. RNAcentral describes it as "partial 16S ribosomal RNA". It matches the Rfam family "Bacterial small subunit ribosomal RNA", at positions 524 to 776 of the family's 1533-position model. The record is from RNAcentral.
UACGUAGGGGGCAAGCGUUGUCCGGAUUUAUUGGGCGUAAAGAGCGUGUAGGCGGCCAUACAGGUCAGCUGUGAAAACUCGAGGCUCAACCUCGAGACGUCGGUUGAAACCGUAUGGCUAGAGUCCGGAAGAGGAGAAUGGAAUUCCUGGUGUAGCGGUGAAAUGCGCAGAUAUCAGGAAGAACACCCGUGGCUAAGGCGGUUCUCUAGUACGGUACUGACGCUGAGACGCGAAAGCGUGGGGAGCGAACAGG